Macaca mulatta (Rhesus monkey) is the source of this 652-nucleotide non-coding RNA. The record is from RefSeq and is a predicted model, not a curated record. Lineage: Eukaryota; Metazoa; Chordata; Mammalia; Primates; Cercopithecidae.
CGCUAUGUUGCCCAGGUUUGUCUUGAAUUCCUGUCCUCAAGCAAUCCUGCUGCCUUGGCCUACCAAAGUGCUGGGAUUACAGGCAUGAGCCACUAUGACCUGCCAAUUUCCUGAUUUUGAUGGCUGUAUUUCAGUUUUGCAGGAGAAGAUCCUCGUUUGGAGGAAAUGCACACUGAAGUAUUUGUUGGUGAUGGGGCAUCAUGCAAGGAUCAUGACUCAGUAGCCAGUGGAAGGAGUCAGAACACUUUGGGAACAUGCUGCUAAAAACCCGUCAGCUCAUCGUCCUUGUUUUUGUCAGCCUGGUAUCCACCAUGAAGAAAUCAGAUUGAAAAUGGAGGAAAUGGUGCCAUUGUUUUCUGAGGAUACAGCAGGGUCCUCUGUGACAUGUGUCUCCCCGUGACCUGGUCAAAGCUCCCUGUGACAUGUGACCUGGUCUUUACUAGGAGCUCACAUUUGGCAGAACAGGGCUGAUCCAUAUACAUAGCUCGGUACUGAAACUUUCUUAUGCUAAGCUGACUAGCUCCACUUACUUAUGUUUAUUUUUUGCUUAAAACGUCUUUUAAAAUGUUUAUAUUUUAAUUGAAUUGUUUGUUAAAGAGAAAUAAGCCACACUGUGCCCUGGUCGAAUGGUUAAGUAAAGAUUAAGUAAACA